This 1983-nucleotide long non-coding RNA is filed under the name Salvator merianae (Argentine black and white tegu). RNAcentral describes it as "lncRNA (ENSSMRG00000008725.1)". Lineage: Eukaryota; Metazoa; Chordata; Lepidosauria; Squamata; Teiidae. The record is from RNAcentral.
UGACACUGCAGGAUAUGCUGGAUGAACCUUCCAGAGUACUGGUAGGUAUUAACAGAGCCAGUCUUUGGAAUGUUUUAAAACAGCAAAAAAAGCAGUGUUAACGCCCUGCCAAGGUAAGGCUUGUGUUAGGUUACGCUCUGCCUAUCUCUUCCCCUUUUCCCUCUGUGUGUGUUGCUUGUCUACAGCUCAGCUCUUCUCUAGCAAACGGUGUUUGUUGGAUUGAUAAACUGAGGGACCAGGAGAGAACAAAUCUCUAAAUCUACUGCCAGCGUGGAAUCGACUCUUGACUGGAACGCCCAUCACCGAUACCCGUUACAAUAUUCGAGCGCCACAGUAUUCUCAGUUGGUUAGGUUUGUGAGCCNAAAGCGUGGCCCUGGGAAAGCCCAACCGUGGCUCUCGCAUGGGGUCCGACAAGAAGAGAGCCCUCAUCCGUGCCUGCGCUUGUAGCAGCUUUGUCGGGAGACAGCCUUGUUUGUGUCAGAAACAGUUGCAAGGAGCUCUUUUGUCUUGUUUUGUGUGCGCGCGCAUCUGCCGAGCGGUGCAGAAAAUAGCAGCAGGGAGAAGGAUAAGAGGCAGCCGGCGGACAAUCAGGAGAAGGUGNUGGCAGAGGGGGAGAUGGCCAUAAUGCACGCGUCUGCGGCAGUGCAGCUUGGCACCUCCAGCCUUCUGCCUCCCGGAGCAAUAAUUCACUCUGGGAGAGGCCGGCCAGCCCAGCAUCCUUUCUGAGAGCAGCUCUGGCCAUCUCCACACCUCCUUUGUGCCGGAGCGAGAGGGAAGAGUCAGCAAGAAUUCUUUCCCGUCUUCUGGCUGACUUUCCUUCCUCCCAGCGGCUGCAUCCAUGUCCCCUGGGCCCAAUGAACCAGAUCCAGAGGUGCUGCAAAUGGACCCAGCCGUCCUCAUCUUCCUGCUGUANCUCAUGAUCAUCCACGAGUUGGUGAGCGGCUGGAUGGAGUACCAGAAGCAAGCCACGAAACCCAAGAAGCAGUCUGGGCCUCUCUGGUCAUCCAGCCGAUCUUCCCAGCUGAACCACUCGAGCUUUUCUCAACCUCUAGCCUAUCCUUCGCGGCGCGAGCGAUGCAGAGACUGGAGGAAACCGGGCCGGAUCCUCAGGAAAGUGUGACAUGUCUCCUGCCCUCAACCCCAGGCUCAUGCACCGAGGAAGCUUCCGUGCCAACCAGAAAGGAACGUAAUUUCCUUCAUGCAGGAACAAGAAUGGUGGGGUGAUGGACACCAGCUUUUGCCAUGACUUUCGGGGUUCAAUCAUCCUCAGCCAUCCAAGCCCAGGACAAGAAAGGAAGGUGACCAACUUCAGAGGACUGUUGCUGGUAGGAAGGUCCCUCUUGUUUUGGAACGGCCAUUUCUGCCACCCUUGGAGGAACCGUCAGCUGAUGCUAUCAGUUGCCUUUGGCUCUGUGCUUGAGGAAGAGGCGGCAAAAGGCAAAACUGAAACAGUGCUUGAACAGACAUGACCUUUGGAAUAAGAGAGACCUAUAAGAAAAGCUCUAGGAUGCCCGCCACUUAUUUUACCUCUCUUCCCUCCUUUUGCCUUUGUUUUGCCUGCAGCUGACCUNGACUCUGGAUUUGAUGAGCGUGUGGAAUCUUCCUGGGCUAGUUUUGGUUUCCUUCAGUCCCGUUGCCACCUCCAAAGUGAACCUCAAGGUCUUCCCUCUGCAUGCUGAGACAUCUUUCUUGACUGGGGCAUCACUGUGGCCGCUUGGGCCGAGGGACGCGCCACCCUCAUCCCCGGGAAUAGAAAUGGAACAAUCUCCAUGUGGACAGAGCUGCUUGGGGAGAGACUGAUAGCNGGGGGAAGGUGGAAAUCUUCUAAAACUUGAAUCUGCAGACUUGGGUUUCUGCUCUGAAGCACUGUGAAGAUGAGUCCGUUGGCGGCACCUUGAGGUUUCCNUCUGCUAGAUCCCAUACCAUCGGAAGGAGCAUAACACAACAAUAAAUCCAUGUAGAGUGUGGCGCUGCUGGGGUGC